This 394-nucleotide ribosomal RNA is filed under the name uncultured bacterium. Its description in RNAcentral is "partial 16S ribosomal RNA". It matches the Rfam family "Bacterial small subunit ribosomal RNA", at positions 523 to 918 of the family's 1533-position model. The record is from RNAcentral.
ACACGUAGGGGGCGAGCGUUGUUCGGAAUCAUUGGGCGUAAAGGGCGUGCAGGCGGUCCUGCACGUCAGGCGUGAAAGACCCCGGCCCAACCCGGGGGACGCGCCGGAAACUGCGGGGCUCGAGAACAGGCGGGCAUGCCGGAAAUCCAGGUGUAGGGGGGAAACUUUUAGAUAUGUGGAAGAACACCAAUGGCGAAGGCAGGCAUCGGUCCAUGUACUGACGCUGGGACGCGAAGGUGCGGGGAGCAAACAGGUUUAGAUACCCUGGUAGUCCGCACAGUAAACGAUGUGCACCAGGUGGCGGGGGGUCGACCCUCGGUACCGUAGCUAACGCAUUAAGUGCACCGCCUGGGGAGUAUGCUCGCAAGGGUGAAACUCAAAGGAAUUGGCGGGG